UGACCAGAAACCUCUGACCGACGUCCAUCACCUUGAUGAAGGACAGAUCCCUGAAGGACAGAAGGUGGCAGCAGAUGAAGCCAUGCGCAUGCGCUGCUGUCUUCCUCACCAAUCCUCCAGUGAUGUCACGCAACUCGAGUCAGCGAGGUUACCAUAGCGACGCGACCUUAACAGGAGAGCAGGACGUGGUCGGGCUGUAACAUGGUGGUUACAAACCGUAACAAGUGCCGGCGUGAAAACAACGUGAAGACGAAAGUAAAGACUGUGACGUUUCAGCUUCUACCUCUUCGCUCUUCAUCUCUGGCGGGAACUCUGAGCCUUCCUGAAGACACCGACCGUUAGGAGGAGCCUCGGUGACAGAUGGAGCGGAU
Long non-coding RNA from Cynoglossus semilaevis (tongue sole), 371 nucleotides. RefSeq lists it as uncharacterized. NCBI's taxonomy places the organism in Eukaryota, Metazoa, Chordata, Actinopteri, Pleuronectiformes, Cynoglossidae. The transcript has 3 exons. The record is from RefSeq and is a predicted model, not a curated record.